Molecule: ribosomal RNA, 248 nt
Filed under: uncultured bacterium
Lineage: Bacteria
Description: partial 16S ribosomal RNA
Rfam family: Bacterial small subunit ribosomal RNA
Source: RNAcentral
AGCGAACGCUGGCGGCAGGCUUAACACAUGCAAGUCGAACGGGCGUAGCAAUACGUCAGUGGCAGACGGGUGAGUAACGCGUGGGAACGUACCUUUUGGUUCGGAACAACCCAGGGAAACGUUAGGGCUAAUAACCGGGAUAAGCCCUUACGGGGAAAGGAUUUAUCGCCGAAAGAUCGGCCCGCGUCUGAUUAGCUAGUUGGUGUGGUAACGGCGCACCAAGGCGACGAUCAGUAGCUGGUCUCAGA